UACGGAGGGUGCGAGCGUUGUCCGGAAUCACUGGGCGUAAAGGGCGCGUAGGCGGCAUGCCAAGCGUGUGGUGAAAGCCCGGGGCUCAACCCCGGGUCGGCCGUGCGGACUGGCGUGCUCGAGCACUGUAGGGGCGGGUGGAAUUCCGGGUGUAGCGGUGGAAUGCGUAGAUAUGACAUAGAACACCAAUUGCGCAGGCAGCUUACUACACAGUAAUUGACACUGAGGCACGAAAGCGUGGGGAUCAAACAGG
Molecule: ribosomal RNA, 253 nt
Filed under: uncultured bacterium
Lineage: Bacteria
Description: partial 16S ribosomal RNA
Rfam family: Bacterial small subunit ribosomal RNA
Source: RNAcentral